AGGGAUCAUUAGAGAGUAUUAUAACUCCCAAACCCAUGUGAACAUACCUCUCGUUGCCUCGGCGGAGAGAGGGAUUACCCCGGUGUGGAUACCCGGAGGCGCAUACCCAGUGUGCGCCGCCCGGCACUCCGGGGCUGUCUCUCCCGCCGCCGCUGGCCCGUGAAACUCUGUUUUAUUUUGGAAUUCUGAAUAGCAAACUAAAUAAGUUAAAACUUUCAACAACGGAUCUCUUGGUUCUGGCAUCGAUGAAGAACGCAGCGAAAUGCGAUAAGUAAUGUGAAUUGCAGAAUUCAGUGAAUCAUCGAAUCUUUGAACGCACAUUGCGCCCAUUAGUAUUCUAGUGGGCAUGCCUGUUCGAGCGUCAUUUCGACCAUUAAGCCCUCGUUGCUUAGCGUUGGGAGUCUACUGGCCUGGCCUGUAACUCCUCAAAGUUAGUGGCGGAGUUAGUGCAUACUCUAGGCGUAGUAAUUUAUCAUCUCGCUUUUGUAGUUGUGCUGGCGCCUGCCGUAAAACACCCAAUUUUUAUAGGUUUGACCUCGGAUCAGGUAAGAAUACCCGCUGAACUUAA
This 568-nucleotide ribosomal RNA is filed under the name uncultured fungus. Its description in RNAcentral is "eukaryotic LSU rRNA". The stretch from base 211 to 364 matches the Rfam family "5.8S ribosomal RNA". Lineage: Eukaryota; Fungi. The record is from RNAcentral.